UACGAAGGGGGCUAGCGUUGCUCGGAAUCACUGGGCGUAAAGCGCACGUAGGCGGCUUUCUAAGUCAGGGGUGAAAUCCUGGAGCUCAACUCCAGAACUGCCUUUGAUACUGGAAGGCUUGAGUCCGGGAGAGGUGAGUGGAACUGCGAGUGUAGAGGUGAAAUUCGUAGAUAUUCGCAAGAACACCAGUGGCGAAGGCGGCUCACUGGCCCGGUACUGACGCUGAGGUGCGAAAGCGUGGGGAGCAAACAGG
This 253-nucleotide ribosomal RNA is filed under the name uncultured bacterium. Its description in RNAcentral is "partial 16S ribosomal RNA". It matches the Rfam family "Bacterial small subunit ribosomal RNA", at positions 524 to 776 of the family's 1533-position model. The record is from RNAcentral.